This is a long non-coding RNA of Lepidothrix coronata (blue-crowned manakin), 648 nucleotides long. RefSeq lists it as uncharacterized. Lineage: Eukaryota; Metazoa; Chordata; Aves; Passeriformes; Pipridae. The record is from RefSeq and is a predicted model, not a curated record. The transcript has 3 exons.
ACAAACAUGGCGUUGCCAUGGCAACCGCCCCGAAAUUCGGUUUUAUAUAGCAGUGACAAACCCCGCCGCCUUUCCCAAAGUCACCAUUUAGCACGGCAUUCUCACACCUCACCUCCAUGUAACCAUUCCGUGCCAUUUCCGUGCUCUCACACAGGGGUCUGUGUGGGGGCUGUUCCUUUCCUCUGACCAGUCAAACUAAUCUGUACCUCCUGCCUCGAGCUCGGAACACACUAGAGAGAAAGCUCCAGAAAGGACUCGGCAGGUCUCCUCAGUAGCAGCAGCAGGGAGGGACCCCAGUGCAGUCCCAGAUAGCUGCCAGUCACUUGGCCGGGCUGGCUCACAGAAGGUGCAGCAGGCACAGAUGGCACUAAUGCAUAAAUGUGAUCUAGCAAAGGGAUGCCAACACCAACCCCCAACAGGUUCCGAGGAACUGCAGUGCACUUACAGGGAUACGAGGGUUGGCAAGGUGAAAGCUGAGAUUUACAGGAGCUCACUAUUCCCAAAUCAACAACAGAAUCCUACAACAAAUGAGCAGAUUUAUUUAUUAACUUAGAAAAUGCACUUAAUGGCACAAUCUCUGGGCAUGUGUGUAACAAAGCCUCUCCAAACCCCCCACUCGUUAUAUAAAUUAUACUGAGCAAAGGAAAG